UGAGGAAUAUUGGACAAUGGAUGGAAAUCUGAUCCAGCCAUGCCGCGUGCAGGAAGACGGCCCUAUGGGUUGUAAACUGCUUUUGUAUGGGAGCAAUAAGGUCUAUGCGUAGACUGAUGAGAGUACCAUACGAAUAAGCAUCGGCUCACUCCGUGCCAGCAGCCGCGGUAAUACGGGGGAUGCAAGCGUUAUCCGGCUUUGUUGGGUUUAAGGGUGCGUAGGCGGUUUUAUAAGUCAGCGGUGAAAUAUUUCAGCUUAACUGAAAGGGUGCCGUUGAUACUGUCAGGCUUGAAUAUGGUUGCUGUGGGUGGAAUGUGUGGUGUAGCGGUGAAAUGCUUAGAUAUCACACAGAAUAUCGAUUGCGAAGGCAGCUCACAAAGCCAUUAUUGACGCUGAUGCACGAAAGUGUGGGGAUCAAACA
This 421-nucleotide ribosomal RNA is filed under the name uncultured prokaryote. RNAcentral describes it as "bacterial SSU rRNA". It matches the Rfam family "Bacterial small subunit ribosomal RNA", at positions 355 to 774 of the family's 1533-position model. The record is from RNAcentral.